Molecule: ribosomal RNA, 497 nt
Filed under: uncultured bacterium
Lineage: Bacteria
Description: partial 16S ribosomal RNA
Rfam family: Bacterial small subunit ribosomal RNA
Source: RNAcentral
GAUGAACGCUGGCGGCGUGCCUAAUACAUGCAAGUCGAACGGAAAGACGAGGAGCUUGCUCCUCUGACGGUAGCGGCGGAGGGGUGAGUAACACGUGGAUAACCCACCUAUAAGACUGGGAUAACUUCGGGAAACCGGAGCUAAUACCGGAUAAUAUAUUGAAGCGCAUGGUGGAAUAGUGAAAGACGGCUUUGCUGUCACUUAUCGAUGGUUCCGCGCCGGAUUAGCUAGUUGGUAAGGUAACGGCUUACCAAGGCAACGAUGCGUAGCAGACCUGAGAGGGUGAUCGGCCACACUGGAACUGAGACACGGUCCAGACUCCUACGGGAGGCAGCAGUAGGGAAUAUUGCGCAAUGGGCGAAAGCCUGACGGAGCAACGCCGCGUGAGUGAUGAAGGCCUUCGGAUCGUAAAGCUCUGUUAUUGGGGAAGAACAGAUGUGUAAGAAAAUAUGCACGUCUUGACGGUACCUGAUCAGAAAGCAACGGCUAACUACGUG